Molecule: ribosomal RNA, 254 nt
Filed under: uncultured bacterium
Lineage: Bacteria
Description: partial 16S ribosomal RNA
Rfam family: Bacterial small subunit ribosomal RNA
Source: RNAcentral
UACGAAGGGGGCUAGCGUUGCUCGGAAUGACUGGGCGUAAAGGGCGCGUAGGCGGUUCAUACAGUCAGAUGUGAAAUUCCCGGGCUUAACCUGGGGGCUGCAUUUGAUACGUUGUGGGCUUGAGUGAGGAAGAGGGUUGUGGAAUUCCCAGUGUAGAGGUGAAAUUCGUAGAUAUCGGGAGGAACACCAGUGGCGAAGGCGGCGACCUGGACGGACACUGACGCUGAGACGCGAAAGCGUGGGGAGCAAACAGG